AGUGAACGCUGGCGGUAGGCCUAACACAUGCAAGUCGAACGGCAGCACAGUAAGAGCUUGCUCUUACGGGUGGCGAGUGGCGGACGGGUGAGGAAUACAUCGGAAUCUACUUUUUCGUGGGGGAUAACGUAGGGAAACUGACGCUAAUACCGCAUACGACCUACGGGUGAAAGCAGGGGAUCUUGGGACCUUGCGCGACUGAAUGAGCCGAUGUCGGAUUAGCUAGUUGGCGAGGUAAAGGCACACCAAGGCGACGAUCCGUAGCUGGUCUGAGAGGAUGAUCAGCCACACUGGAACUGAGACACGGUCCAGACUCCUACGGGAGGCAGCAGUGGGGAAUAUUGGACAAUGGGCGCAAGCCUGACGCAGCCAUGCCGCGUGGGUGAAGAAGGCCUUCGGAUUGUAAAGCCCUUUUGUUAGGAAAGAAAAGCAGCAGGUUAAUCCCCCGCUGUUCUGACGGUACCCAAAGAAUAAGCACCGGCUAACUUCGUG
Molecule: ribosomal RNA, 492 nt
Filed under: uncultured bacterium
Lineage: Bacteria
Description: partial 16S ribosomal RNA
Rfam family: Bacterial small subunit ribosomal RNA
Source: RNAcentral